This is a long non-coding RNA of Thalassophryne amazonica, 556 nucleotides long. RefSeq lists it as uncharacterized. The record is from RefSeq and is a predicted model, not a curated record. NCBI's taxonomy places the organism in Eukaryota, Metazoa, Chordata, Actinopteri, Batrachoidiformes, Batrachoididae. The transcript has 4 exons.
CUUGAACUGCCGCUGUGAAACCACAGCACAAUAACAGAAAUCAUCCCCGCCACUGACGAGACUGAGCGGGUCGGACUGGCAGAGCCUCUUUGUCAAGGUCCCUGACGAAGCUGUGUGGCGGACAGAGCGUCGACUGAACCAGACGUUUCCAACAUCGGACCUCACGGAGACCCGCUGCACUGUGCAAAGUAAAUGUUUACCUGGACUUGGACGACUGGCGUUUUAUACGGGGCGAUGCUGAAGAUGGACGCCGUGUAGCUGUCAGGGAUGAACUGUGGCGCCUCAUUCAUGUCCUCCACCUGAACUUUGACCUGUGUGACAGUCACAUCCUUCAGUGAAACCACACCUUGUUUGCUGAUGUCAAAAGUGUCGCUGGUGUAGACGAAGAAGCCAUUAGAGAAUCCUCCCUGCAGGACAAGAGCAUUUCCCAACUAGCAGAGGCGUCCCCCCGUCGGUGGCCUGCACCAUCAGAGUGUAGCCGUUCACCCUACUGUAGUCCAGAGGCUGAUCCAGCAGCAGGGUCCCGGUGGAAGAGUUCACCACAAAGACAGGGAGG